GAACAGCACAUUUAUAAAUUUUAUAACUACAGUGCCUCUUUCUUCAAAAAGAGAAGCACACAGGGCCAUGGCAGACGGAGGGUGGAGAUCCCAAUGUGAGAAUACCUCUUUCGAACCGGAUGACAUUUUGGACCAAGAACUAGUUUUGUGACCUCUUCUGCGUCAGGCUCUGCCAUUAUAUAUUGCCACAAUCCACAUGAUCUCCUCACAGAGACAGAGCAUUGAAGCAAAUAAGGAGCCAGUAAGCUACGGAAAUCACGUUCUAUGCACAUUGUGAAUGUCAUUGUCAGCGAGACAGCGCUAUAUGAUAUCCAUGUAAAAAUUUCAUUUUAUAUGAAAGAAGCCUUUUUGCCCCUCUGUGAUAAUUUGUCACGAGGCAGCGUGGUGGUGUUGCGCA
This is a long non-coding RNA of Populus trichocarpa (black cottonwood), 397 nucleotides long. RefSeq lists it as uncharacterized. The transcript has 2 exons. The record is from RefSeq and is a predicted model, not a curated record. NCBI's taxonomy places the organism in Eukaryota, Viridiplantae, Streptophyta, Magnoliopsida, Malpighiales, Salicaceae.